GAUGAAGAACGUAGCGAAAUGCGAUAAGUAAUGUGAAUUGCAGAAUUCAGUGAAUCAUCGAAUCUUUGAACGCACAUUGCGCCCGUCAGUAUUCUGGCGGGCAUGCCUGUUCGAGCGUCAUUACGCCCCUCAAGUCCCCUGUGGACUUGGUGUUGGGGAUCGGCGAGGCUGGUUUUCCAGCACAGCCGUCCCUUAAAUUUAUUGGCGGUCUCGCCGUGGCCCUCCUCUGCGCAGUAGUAAAACACUCGCAACAGGAGCCCGGCGCGGUCCACUGCCGUAAAACCCCCCAACUUUUUAUAGUUGACCUCGAAUCAGGUAGGACUACCCGCUGAACUUAAGCAUAUCAAUAAGCGGAGGA
RNAcentral lists this unclassified non-coding RNA (358 nucleotides) under soil metagenome. RNAcentral describes it as "partial contains 5.8S ribosomal RNA, internal transcribed spacer 2, and large subunit ribosomal RNA". The stretch from base 1 to 120 matches the Rfam family "5.8S ribosomal RNA", at positions 35 to 154 of the family's 154-position model. The record is from RNAcentral.